CCUACGGGUGGCAGCAGUGAGGAAUAUUGGUCAAUGGACGCAAGUCUGAACCAGCCAUGUCGCGUGCGGGAAUACGGCCCUACGAGUUGUAAACCGCUUUUGCCCGGGGGUCAAUCCCUCCACGUUUAUAUGUGUGAAAGUACCCUACGAAUAAGGCUCGGCUAACUCCGUUCCCGCCGCCGCGGUAAUACGGAGAGUUCAAGGGUUAUCCGGAUUUAUUGGGUUUAAGGGGUGCGUAGGCGGUUGAUUAAGUUCGCGGGAAAACCCCGGGGUCAAACCCCGCACUGCCGUUGAUACUGGCGGCCUAGAGUGUAGGUGAGGUAGGCGGAAUGCGUGGUGUAGCGGUGAAAUGCAUAGAGAUCACGCAGAACACCGAUUGCGAAGGCAGCUUACCGGACUACGACUGACGUUGAGGCACGAAAGCGUGGGGAGCAAACAGGAUUAGAUACCCCUGUAGUC
This 459-nucleotide ribosomal RNA is filed under the name uncultured bacterium. Its description in RNAcentral is "partial 16S ribosomal RNA". It matches the Rfam family "Bacterial small subunit ribosomal RNA", at positions 338 to 795 of the family's 1533-position model. The record is from RNAcentral.